CAACAGUGAUGAGCUUCUACUUUAGUCCGUGUUUUUGAACACAAUGAUAUCAUCAAAGUUCUGAGUGA
This is a small nucleolar RNA of Cyprinus carpio (common carp), 68 nucleotides long. Its record names the gene SNORD18. It matches the Rfam family "Small nucleolar RNA SNORD18". Rfam says of the family: U18 is a member of the C/D class of snoRNA which contain the C (UGAUGA) and D (CUGA) box motifs. It is encoded in introns of ribosomal protein L1 in Xenopus and human, and in introns of elongation factor 1 beta in yeast. Related snoRNAs in Arabidopsis and rice have been named R63 and Z106 respectively. Lineage: Eukaryota; Metazoa; Chordata; Actinopteri; Cypriniformes; Cyprinidae. The record is from Ensembl.